CGUUAACAUAGUAUUGUUUUCUUAAUCUGUAAAUAAAGGAUACAAUUUCAUGCCAAUGUUUAGUUUGGGUCUGGUAUACACUGUAUUCUGUAUAAUUUCAUUAUCAAGACUAACUAGUGCACUUACUGUAAUUAUAUUUAAGUACUACUAAGAGAGAUGUACACUUGUAAUAAAUACAUUAAUAGUUUAUUUUCAUUGCACUUUUAAUCAGCACACUUGAAGUAAAGUGAAAAAGUGAAGUUUGCAAUCUUCAGUUUGGUACUUUCACUGUUAAUCUGAGUUGUCGGUUGUGAUCGAAAGAAUUAGCAGCAGAAAUGAGCUUCUGACUACAGUGUGGAACCCGUACUGACGUCUGAUGAUGAUGACACUUACAGCAACACCCAAAAGGACGGGCCUCAUUCUUAUCUCCCUCUAUGAAUACAGUUAGAUGCCUUUGAACAUUAUAUCUUCGGAUCCUCUGAUUUUCCUCAACAUCUUUACAGAGGUGAGUACAUCAUUUUGUGGCAAUAUAUGACACAUCAGUUCAACAGAUAAAUGAUUAUUAGUUUUAAAACUUAAUAUUCAGUCAUGUCCAAUAAGGCUUAUAGAACUAGAGAUGAGGGUUACUCCUCUAUGCAUCCAGUAAAAUAAAUUCAAUAUGAAUAACAGUUUACUUUCAAAAAUAUACCGAACAAAAUUACAGAAUCUUGUUUAGGUGUAAAAAGAUAAUACUGAAACUAUCGUUCACUCUUCUUACAGUACACUUGCUUACUUUGUUUUGAAAAUAUUUUCUUAUUUAUAGUUUAUUUUAGAUGUGCUGUUUUGACAUCCUCAGAAUGAAAUAUGGAUUAAAUGCAGUUUAAUGUAAAUAAUUUUUGUAUUCAGUUACAAAUGAAAGUGUUCAUAGGAUACUUCAGGCAUAGUAAAACUUAAGCUCACUGUAUGCAUUUGAACAUAGGCACAUUCAAAUGUGUCUAACCUCACUUCCCUUGGACUUUUUCAGUAGGACAUUUGUCACAGAAACAAAAAUGAGCAAACUGGAAGAGGCCAUGGAAAAACUUCUUGAUGUAUUUCAGCAAGGUAACCCAAAAGACAAAAAGAUAAAGAAUGCAGACCUGAAGAGAAUCCUGAAUAAUGAUUUGGAAAAAUGGUCGAAGGACCACCCGCGCAAGAUAAAAAACUUCUUGGAAAGGCUGGACAAAAACCCAGGCAGUAGUUUGGAUUUUGCGCAGUUUGUUCACUAUGUGACUUGGCUGAUGAUAGAUUGUGAUAGCUACUUUAAAAAGUAGACUCCUGCACAUGUAGCUUAAACAUUAGCAUGUUGCUAACACAGAAAGUGGAAAUGGAGAACAUCUUAACUUCACUCUGUUCAAUGAAAAAUACCCCUCCACUCAACCCUUUUUACUGUAUUGUUGUAAUGUAACCAUAAAAGCACAAAAUAUGCGUCUCAUCACAUAAGCCUUUGCCCCCCCAAAAAACCAACCCAAAAACAAAACUAAAUGAUGCUGUAAUUUCUUUGUAUGUCAGACAGCCUAUAAUUUUUUUACUCCGCAAUACAGCAACAACUCUCAACCCAGUUAAUAUCAUUUUUUUGUCAUUAUGAUAUUAACUCUUUCACCUUUGUACUCAUUGAUAAUGUUAAUAUGAAUGUAUUAAGACUCUCAGAGUUUAUAUACAUGUGAAUGUAAAUCUGGUUGUGUGUCUUUUCUAAAACCAUCUUGAUUUAUUGAGUCUCUGAAAUGUUUUCUGUGUGUUUUUGUCAGGGUUCCUGGGUCGCUGACCCAGUGAUUCAGUUCUGUUCAUGUUCAGUUUAGUUUGCCACAUUAAUGUUCUCACUUCCUGUUUUCUCCCAUGUCAGCUUGUGUCAUUAGUCGGAUUAUGUUCAGCCCUGUACUCACCUGUUUCCAAUCAUUGUCAUCAUUCCACCUGUGUAUUUAAGCUCCUCGGUUUCACCAGUUCUUGGUCGUGUCAUUGAUGUUCGUGUGAUGUUGUCCUUUCCGUGUGUUCCCUCAAUUCAGUCAGCCAUUCAGUUAUCCAGCCAGUCAGUGUCAGUUCACCCUCUGUUCAUCCAUUCCUUAUAAUAAACCUUCACCAGUCUUCACCUACCUGCGAGUCCUGCGUUUGGGUUCCUUCUUCCUCGCCUCCACACAAAAGCUGACAGUUUUAGAACAAACCAGUGCUGUUGCUGAUCAAAAGAGGUGCUAUGACACCUCUUAAUCAUGCAGAUGAUUAUGAAGAGGUCUUGUAUACAUAAACCUCAAACAAAUAUUUAAUAAAU
Long non-coding RNA from Oreochromis niloticus (Nile tilapia), 2257 nucleotides. The record is from Ensembl. NCBI's taxonomy places the organism in Eukaryota, Metazoa, Chordata, Actinopteri, Cichliformes, Cichlidae.